This 450-nucleotide ribosomal RNA is filed under the name uncultured Thiotrichales bacterium. RNAcentral's name for it is "bacterial SSU rRNA". It matches the Rfam family "Bacterial small subunit ribosomal RNA", at positions 1077 to 1532 of the family's 1533-position model. Lineage: Bacteria; Pseudomonadati; Pseudomonadota; Gammaproteobacteria; Thiotrichales. The record is from RNAcentral.
UGGGUAGUCCGUACGAGCGCACCCUAUCCUUAGUUGCCAGCGAGUAUGUCGGGAACUCUAGGGAGACUGCCGGUGACAAACCGGAGGAAGGUGGGGACGACGUCAAGUCAUCAUGGCCCUUAUGGGCAGGGCUACACACGUGCUACAAUGGCCGGCACAGAGGGCUGCGAAGUCGCAAGGCGGAGCGAAUCUCAGAAAACCGGUCGUAGUCCGGAUUGCGGUCUGCAACUCGACUGCAUGAAGUUGGAAUCGCUAGUAAUCGCGGAUCAGAAUGCCGCGGUGAAUACGUUCCCGGGCCUUGUACACACCGCCCGUCACACCAUGGGAGUGGGCUGUACCAGAAGUAGGUAGUCUAACCUUCGGGGGGACGCUUACCACGGUGUGGUUCAUGACUGGGGUGGAGUCGUAACAAGGUAGCCCUAGGGGAACCUGGGGCUGGAUCACCUCCUU